GCCUAUGGAAGAACCAUAUGGAAGAGUUAUGAUAUGGCUUCAGCUGAAUGUACUUGACUUCAUCUGAUGUCCGAAGCUAAAUGGUCCAGGGUACUUGGAUGGGAGACAACCUGGGCAAUCCUGGGUACUACAGGCC
RNAcentral lists this ribosomal RNA (136 nucleotides) under Crocodylus porosus (Australian saltwater crocodile). Lineage: Eukaryota; Metazoa; Chordata; Crocodylia; Crocodylidae. The record is from RNAcentral.